Long non-coding RNA from Triticum aestivum (bread wheat), 1237 nucleotides. RefSeq lists it as uncharacterized. NCBI's taxonomy places the organism in Eukaryota, Viridiplantae, Streptophyta, Magnoliopsida, Poales, Poaceae. The transcript is spliced from 2 exons. The record is from RefSeq and is a predicted model, not a curated record.
UGCCUAAUCAAAUAGAACCCUUAUGGACUUGCUAGUUGAUAAGGUAAAUAUCCAGCCCACUAAAUGCUAGGCGUAAUGAGGAUAAGGGCCUCCAAAAAACUUCUUUUCGUUCUAUGAACUUUAAGGUGUAUGAAGUCUCAUAGUUAACUCUUGCAAUGGAACGAUAGAGACUCCAUUUCACUUAGGUUGAUUUAAUUUAGACCGGAGGCAGACCUAAGUCAAGGUAAUCCUCCUUUGAAACACUUUGGUAUUGCUCCUAGUUAGAUCAUAAUACAAAAAAUCAAUCAGAGCACAGGGAGCCAUCUCAUUAUCUUUCCGUAAAGAAAAACUAUUGUGGACUAACUGAUCUUUAAAUCAGUUUAUGAAAGAGCCCAAUGCAAAAAAAUGCAUGUUGGGUCUUUGAAACAGUUCAAAUCAUUUCGAUAAUAAUCCGUUUGAUCUGUUUUACCGAGAAGGUCUACGGUUCGAACCUGUAUAGCCCUAAUAUGCCCUUUUUUAGAUUUUAGGAUCUCUAUCCUAUGUUUUCUUUAGUUUAGUAUAGUUUUCAUUUUCUCAUUAGUAUUUGUUUAUAGACUGGAUAGGCGCCUGCGACAUAGAAUAGAGAUAAAAGCAUUACCAAAGGCUCAUUCAUCAAAAAUCAAAAUCAUACAGACAGGAAAAGAAAAACGAAUUUCUAUCAAAUCAAUAGAAGAAAGGAUCCUUUCCCUGAUUUGAAUCCCGUCCUCCUUCAAAUAGGAUAUCUCUAGACUUCCCUAUAAUAACUGCAAUGAUUUUAUCCAUUUUGCGAAUUCCUACUUUGUUUUAAGUAUAUUUAUUACUUUGUUUAUAGAUACAUUAUGUAAAUUGAUCAACUUUAAAUAGAAAAAAUAAAGUAAAGAGUAAAUAAGAAAACAGAAUAUUCUGUCUCAUAGUUCUGAAAUAGAGUUCUUUAUUUUUAUUUUAUAGUAUUACUUCUCAUUAAUUCUACUGCAUAGAUUAGUCCUACUAUCUUAAUUAGGUUCUAAUUUAGUAGUAUUCUCAUUUUUAUUUAAUAGUCUCUUAUUAUUUUAUUAUUAAAUAUUAAAUAAAGGAUAGAGCUAUUCUUUUUUCUAGAGAUUCUAGAGAAAGCAAGACAAAGUGAAACGAGAAAGUUUUCUUUAUAUAAGAAUUAGAUCUACAUACACCAUAUCUAAAUAGAAUGGAAAUCCAAAAGAAAGGGAGUUGGGAUUCCAUUGGAUGAAUCUUUAAAGAAGAUGCA